Long non-coding RNA from Orcinus orca (killer whale), 2570 nucleotides. RefSeq lists it as uncharacterized. The transcript is spliced from 2 exons. The record is from RefSeq and is a predicted model, not a curated record. NCBI's taxonomy places the organism in Eukaryota, Metazoa, Chordata, Mammalia, Artiodactyla, Delphinidae.
AACUGGCCCACUUCUGAGCUCUGCAGGUGCCUCUGUGCAGAGGGCAGUGGCAUCCAUCCAUCCAUCCAGAGAAGGUCCCGCCUGUGCCCAUCCUCAGCCCCUGCUCAGACCUGCCUCUGCAGCUCAACAUGAACCAGGCCAGCCUGGUUAAACAGGAGGUAAUAAAGCUCUGUGGAUGAUCCCUGGGCGGGGGCCCCCAAGAAAGGUGUGUGUGUAGGAGAGCUAGCCAAGGUGACUGUCCCAGAGGGAAUCAGGACAGAUCGAGAUGGGCAAGGACGCCUUUGGUUGCUGGAGGCAGGAACUGAGGCAGAGGAAGGUUCCUGGGCCUCUGGCUCUUGGCCAUGUCUCCCAGGAUCCAGUUCCUGAGGCUCCCGCACCUCAAACUGGGCAUCGGACCCUUUGGGGCUCCAGACGCCAGAGAAAAGAAGGGCAUAUUCCUGGCUCGGGACCCUGAACUGACUGCCACCACCCUGAAGAUCCUCCACGCCCUUUCCUGUUACCAGCCGCCCCCAACCUCUUCACCUGUUGCCAAAGCCACCACACAUUUGCCACUCAUUUCUGUGGUCUCCGCAGAUGAGAAACGAAAUUUGAACUGAAACACAGGGGCAGAGAAGUGAAGGGUUAAUUUCCAAGAGCACUGCCCAAGUCCCUUCCCUGCUUUCAGCUUCUGUCCAGGAGACAGAGGCCCUCAUCACUGCACCUGCAGGACUCAGCAUCUCAGAAGGUACGGGAAUCAUUCCUCCCCACAUCCAGUGAGCCCUGUACCCCAGGACCAGGACCAACUGCCUUUCCUAAGUGGAAGGAUGUAGGGUUGUCAAUUAUGUCUGGGCCUUCUAGAUUAGUUCAGAGCAGAGGUCAAGGGCAUGGGCUUUGGAGCUGUAUAAUCUUUCCACUUAUGGCACAUGUGACCUUGAGCAAGUUUCUUAGCCUCCCUGAGUUUCAGUUUCCCCGUCUGUGAAAUGGAGACACUGUCUCCCUUACAGAAGAAAAGGACAUAAUGUGUGUCAGUGCUCAGCCCUGCGCCUGCCGCGACAAGCACCUGGGUAUUUACUCUGUUGUUACUGUCUUGCGGUUGGAGGAUAUGGGGAUGGAGUGGCUGAUCCCCACAUUUUCUGCCACCCUCGCCCUCCCCUUGCCAACCUGCUCAACAAGGGGAUCGGCAGUGUUCUCCUCCUUCAUCACGUGCUCCUUCAGCAGUUCUGUCUGCACCAACCCUGGCCAAAGCGACACGUAGCUGACCCCGUGGCACCGCAGCUCCUGGGCACAGUCAGCAGCCAGCCUGUCGCACUGCAGAGGGACAGAAGGCCAGGUGGGAGCCAGGGCACCUGGUCAUGUCACCUCCCUCCCCUGCCUUCCCUGCUUCCACCGAGGAUGCCCCAACCUCCUCGCCUUCCCAGGAGCCCUGUCUCAGCUGUCCACCUUCCCCAGUGCACUGCCUAGGCUGGCCAGCUGAGAGGAGCCCAGGCAAAGGAACCAUCCAUGCAGGGGCAGAGGAAGAGGUGAGGGUCAGUCAGCCUCACCACUCUGACUACCGGGGACUGUCUCUCCUGAGCUAUGGGUACCACGACUGUCCCCAACCCCUGUGCCAGUGGGUCCUCACCGCAGCUUUGCCCACGCCAUAGGGGACGUUGAAGAAAUACUGCAGCCCACCAAUGGAGGAGAUGACCACGAUGAGCCCCCGGCCAGCUGGUACCAUCAGCCGUGCCCCAUACACAGAGCAUAAGUAGUGGCCUCUAGAAGGUGGGGCAAAGAAGAAGGAAUGAACCACAUUCAGGGCUGUCUCGGGAAGUUUCUUCUGCCCCCUAAUGGCUUCUGAUCCAGGAGAAGGCCGCAAACCUGGUGAAUCAAGGGCCUGAGGCCACAUUCUGAGAGGGACAUGGGUAAUAUUAACCACCGAAGGUUAAGAAACAGCAAUCUGUAGAAGACUGUAAUGGAAGAAAAGCACUCUGUCAUGACAGCAAUAACAAAGCUAAAAUAGCUCAGGGGAUAAAACAUAAUAAAUGUAUAGGAUCUACAAGGAAAAACUAUAAAGUUCUGCUUAAUAUAAAAGAACAAGUACAGACAUAAUUUGCUUAGAAGAAUCAACAUGUAAAACAUCAGUUCUACUUAAACUAAUGCACAGGUCCAGUCAAUGGGAGUUAUAUCUCAGUAAGACUCCUGGAGAGAUCAACAGAACAAUCUAAAGCUCAGUGAGAAUAGAUGUGUAAGAAGAGCCAGGAAAAUUCUGAAAAAGGAAGAGUAACAUCGUGUCGGUGAGGGGGAUAUGCUCCCCUCACCCAACCAACCUGCGUUAAAAUGUACAAUGAGGGGCUUUCCUGGUGGCGCAGUGGUUGAGAGUCCGCCUGCCGAUGCAGAGGACACGGGUUCGUGCCCCGGUCCGGGAAGAUCCCACGUGCCGCAGAGCGGCUGGGCCCGUGAGCCAUGGCCACUGAGCCUGCGCGUCCGGAGCCUGUGCUCCGCAAUGGGAGAGGCCACAACAGUGAGAGAGGCCCGCGUACCACAAAAAAAAAAAAAAAAAAAAAAAAGUACAGUGACAUAAUAGUUUAAAAAAUGCAGGACUGGCAUAAUAA